GACGAACGCUGGCGGCGUGCUUAACACAUGCAAGUCGAACGCUGAAGCUUGGUGCUUGCACUGGGUGGAUGAGUGGCGAACGGGUGAGUAAUACGUGAGUAACCUGCCCUUGACUCUGGGAUAAGCCUGGGAAACUAGGUCUAAUACUGGAUAUGACAUGCCACUGCAUGGUGGUGUGUGGAAAGGGUUUUACUGGUUUUGGAUGGGCUCACGGCCUAUCAGCUUGUUGGUGGGGUAAUGGCCUACCAAGGCGACGACGGGUAGCCGGCCUGAGAGGGUGACCGGCCACACUGGGACUGAGACACGGCCCAGACUCCUACGGGAGGCAGCAGUGGGGAAUAUUGCACAAUGGGCGGAAGCCUGAUGCAGCGACGCCGCGUGAGGGAUGACGGCCUUCGGGUUGUAAACCUCUUUCAGCACGGAAGAAGCGAGAGUGACGGUACGUGCAGAAGAAGCGCCGGCUAACUACGUG
Molecule: ribosomal RNA, 472 nt
Filed under: uncultured bacterium
Lineage: Bacteria
Description: partial 16S ribosomal RNA
Rfam family: Bacterial small subunit ribosomal RNA
Source: RNAcentral